AUUGAACGCUGGCGGCAUGCUUUACACAUGCAAGUCGAACGGUAACAGGUUAAGCUGACGAGUGGCGAACGGGUGAGUAAUGCAUCGGAACGUGCCCGGUCGUGGGGGAUAACGCAGCGAAAGUUGCGCUAAUACCGCAUACGAUCUGAGGAUGAAAGCGGGGGACCGUAAGGCCUCGCGCGAUCGGAGCGGCCGAUGUCAGAUUAGGUAGUUGGUGGGGUAAAGGCUCACCAAGCCAACGAUCUGUAGCUGGUCUGAGAGGACGACCAGCAACACUGGGACUGAGACACGGCCCAGACCCCUACGGGAGGCAGCAGUGGGGAAUUUUGGACAAUGGGCGAAAGCCUGAUCCAGCAAUGCCGCGUGCAGGAAGAAGGCCUUCGGGUUGUAAACUGCUUUUGUACGGAGCGAAAAGGUCUCCUCUAAUACAGGGGGCUCAUGACGGUACCGUAAGAAUAAGCACCGGCUAACUACGUGCCAGCCGCCGCGGAAA
Molecule: ribosomal RNA, 493 nt
Filed under: uncultured bacterium
Lineage: Bacteria
Description: partial 16S ribosomal RNA
Rfam family: Bacterial small subunit ribosomal RNA
Source: RNAcentral